UACGGAGGAUGCAAGCGUUAUCCGGAUUUAUUGGGUUUAAAGGGUGCGUAGGCGGAAUUGUAAGUCAGUGGUGAAAUCUUGCAGCUUAACUGUAAAAUUGCCGUUGAUACUGCUAUUCUUGAGUAUAGUUGAGGUAGGCGGAAUGUGUAAUGUAGCGGUGAAAUGCUUAGAUAUUACACAGAACACCGAUUGCGUAGGCAGCUUACUAAGCUAUAACUGACGCUGAGGCACGAAAGCGUGGGGAUCGAACAGG
This 253-nucleotide ribosomal RNA is filed under the name uncultured bacterium. RNAcentral describes it as "partial 16S ribosomal RNA". It matches the Rfam family "Bacterial small subunit ribosomal RNA", at positions 524 to 776 of the family's 1533-position model. The record is from RNAcentral.